UCCGGCUUUCACCGGCUGUCUCUCUAGAGUGCCCAGCUUGACCUGCUGGCAACUAAAGAUAAGGGUUGCGCUCGUUGCGGGACUGAACCCAACAUCUCACGACACGAGCUGACGACAACCAUGCACCACCUGUCACCAUUGUCCCGAAGGAAAGGCGUAUCUCUACACCGGUCAAUGGGAUGUCAAGCCUUGGUAAGGUUCUUCGCGUUGCUUCGAAUUAAACCACAUGCUCCACCGCUUGUGCGGGCCCCCGUCAAUUCCUUUGAGUUUCAGUCUUGCGACCGUACUCCCCAGGCGGAGUGCUUAUUGGGUUUCCUUCGGCACUGAGGGUGGUACCCCCCAACACCUAGCACUCAUCGUUUACGGCGUGGACUAC
RNAcentral lists this unclassified non-coding RNA (376 nucleotides) under uncultured Caryophanales bacterium. Its description in RNAcentral is "uncultured Bacillales bacterium contains 16S-23S intergenic spacer region". Lineage: Bacteria; Bacillati; Bacillota; Bacilli; Caryophanales. The record is from RNAcentral.